GAAGCGGCAAAAGCUCAAAUUUGAAAUCGGCCACCAGGUCGAGUUNUAAUUUGUAGAUUGUAUCUUGAGAGCGGAUUAAAGUCUGUUGGAACACAGCGCCUUAGAGGGUGACAGCCCCGUAAAAUCUAUUCUCAUUGUAAGAUACUUUCGAAGAGUCGAGUUGUUUGGGAAUGCAGCUCUAAGUGGGAGGUAAAUUCCUUCUAAAGCUAAAUAUUGACGAGAGACCGAUAGCGAACAAGUACUGUGAAGGAAAGAUGAAAAGCACUUUGAAAAGAGAGUGAAAAAGUACGUGAAAUUGUUAAAAGGGAAGGGUAUUGAAUCAGACUUGGUGCUGUUGUUCAACUGUGUUUCGGCAUAGUGUACUCAGCAGUACUAGGCCAAGGUGGGGUGUUUGGGAGUGAAAAAGAAGUWGGAACGUAACUCUUCGGAGUGUUAUAGCCUACUUUCAUAGCUCCUCAGGCGCCUCAGGACUGCGCUUCGGCAAGGACCUUGGCAUAA
Molecule: ribosomal RNA, 498 nt
Filed under: Geotrichum candidum
Lineage: Eukaryota; Fungi; Ascomycota; Dipodascomycetes; Dipodascales; Dipodascaceae
Description: eukaryotic LSU rRNA
Rfam family: Eukaryotic large subunit ribosomal RNA
Source: RNAcentral